GACGAACGCUGGCGGCGUGGAUUAGGCAUGCAAGUCGAACGGUAGGAUACCUUCGGGUAUCUGAGAGUGGCGAACGGGUGAGUAACACGUAGGUGAUCUACCCUCAAGAUUGGGACAACCCAGGGAAACUUGGGCUAAUACCGGAUGAAAGCAGCAGUGAUGUUGUUUGAAAGGUGGCGUAAGCUGCCGUUUGGGGAUGAGCCUGCGCUCUAUUAGUUAGUUGGCGGGGUAAAGGCCCACCAAGGCGAUGAUAGAUAGGCGGCCUUAACGGGUGGUCGCCCACACUGGGAUUGAGAUACGGCCCAGACUCCUACGGGAGGCAGCAGUCGAGAAUAGUCUACAAUGGCCGAAAGGCUGAUAGUGCGACGCCGCGUGAACGAAGAAGCCCUUCGGGGUGUAAAGUUCUUUUAUAUGUGAGCAGUGCUUUCUAGUGUGAACAGCAUGGGGAGAGAGAUAUUAGCAUAUGAAUAAGCAACGGCUAACUCCGUGCC
RNAcentral lists this ribosomal RNA (491 nucleotides) under uncultured bacterium. RNAcentral's name for it is "bacterial SSU rRNA". It matches the Rfam family "Bacterial small subunit ribosomal RNA", at positions 28 to 509 of the family's 1533-position model. The record is from RNAcentral.